Molecule: small nucleolar RNA, 71 nt
Filed under: Sphenodon punctatus (tuatara)
Lineage: Eukaryota; Metazoa; Chordata; Lepidosauria; Sphenodontia; Sphenodontidae
Description: Small nucleolar RNA SNORD24 (ENSSPUG00000015931.1)
Rfam family: Small nucleolar RNA SNORD24
About the family: U24 is a member of the C/D class of snoRNA which contain the C (UGAUGA) and D (CUGA) box motifs. C/D box snoRNAs have been shown to act as methylation guides for a number of RNA targets.
Source: Rfam by way of RNAcentral
UGCAGAUGAUGCUAGCAAUUUUACUAUCUGAACAGUAGUGAUGACAACUCACCACCAAGAUCGCUGAUGCA